GAUGAAGAACGCAGCGAAAUGCGAUAAGUAAUGUGAAUUGCAGAAUUCAGUGUAUCAUCGAAUCUUUGAACGCACAUUGCGCCCCCUGGUAUUCCGGGGGGCAUGCCUGUUCGAGCGUCAUUUCACCACUCAAGCCUCGCUUGGUAUUGGGCAACGCGGUCCGCCGCGUGCCUCAAAUCGACCGGCUGGGUCUUCUGUCCCCUAAGCGUUGUGGAAACUAUUCGCUAAAGGGUGUUCGGGAGGCUACGCCGUAAAACAACCCCAUUUCUAAGGUUGACCUCGGAUCAGGUAGGGAUACCCGCUGAACUUAAGCAUAUCAAUAAGCGGAGGA
Molecule: unclassified non-coding RNA, 331 nt
Filed under: soil metagenome
Description: partial contains 5.8S ribosomal RNA, internal transcribed spacer 2, and large subunit ribosomal RNA
Rfam family: 5.8S ribosomal RNA (bases 1-120)
Source: RNAcentral